Molecule: non-coding RNA, 27 nt
Filed under: Alexandrium minutum
Lineage: Eukaryota; Dinophyceae; Gonyaulacales; Pyrocystaceae
Source: RNAcentral
GAUGUGGGUUGAGCUUGCAGCUCAAGC